RNAcentral lists this long non-coding RNA (1157 nucleotides) under Felis catus (domestic cat). RNAcentral's name for it is "lncRNA (ENSFCAG00000040217.2)". The record is from RNAcentral. Lineage: Eukaryota; Metazoa; Chordata; Mammalia; Carnivora; Felidae.
GCUGAAGUCGGACGCUUAACCGACUGCGCCACCCAGGCGCCCCAUUGUGUGUCUUUUUAAAUGUUUGUUUAUUUUUGAGAGUGACAAAAGAGAGAGCACGAGUGGGAGCGGGGGAGGAGCAGAGAGGGAGAGGCAGGAGGAUCCAAAGGGGGCCCUGAGGUGACAGCAGAGAGCCCGAUGCGAGGCUCGAACUCACAAACUGUGAGAUCAUGACCCCAGCCAAAGUUGGAUGCUUAUCCGACUCAGCUACCCAGGUGCCCCAGCUUGUGUGUUUUAUAAACAAUGUUAUUUAUCUUUAAUGAUGAUGAGCAAACACAUGAAACUUAUGUAGAGUUGCACUGACAUCUAGAAGUAAAACAGGUACAGUUAUCAGAAUGUUUUCGUUUUAGGCAAGAGCUAGAUGUUGUACAUGGAGGAAUCCCGUUUAUUAAGAACGACUAUUCUCUUACAAAAGAAACAGGAAAAAUUAAGGAAAUAGAUUAAAAAUAGCGUAAAAAACUCCGUAAGCUAAUCAUCUGCCAUUUCUGAUUUCAUUUCAUAGCACAUGGCCUGAAAUGUCCAGUCUCCAGACAGCAGUUGAGAAUUAUUAUCUGCGAGUAAAAUUUUCCUUUCCCAACCUUAUUGAAUUCCUGGCUGCUUCGUCUGUUCGUUUGGGCCUGUCUUUCUUUAAUGUAUUCAACUGAAUCACUGGCAAAUAGCCUGCUCUGAGGCCAUUUAAACUCUACCAGAAAAGCUUUCAAUGAUAGUUACAACUUCUGAAGACUGUAACUAAAAUGAUUUUCCUUUGACCAGCAAAUGAUCCUCAGAACCUAAACACUGUUCCCAGGAAGAAGACAAAGCCAGAAAAUUCUCUUUGCAGCGGCCGUGGUGGAAACGAAAGACCAACACCACCAGCACCACAACAAAAAGAAAACAUUUGGGGAUGCUUUGCAGUAAACGGGAAUUUUCUGAGUACGUUUUGGUAAUGAAGGAAAACACCUUACCUUUUCUCUAAUUAACGUUAAUUGUAACGUUACGUUGACAUAGAGACAGAAAUAUCUCAGAGAAAUCAAGAAUACAGGAAAACCUUGGAUGGUGAGGAACCUGUCCUGUGAGUGUUCCUCAAGAUGAGCAAACAUUUCUAAUAAAUUUUAACUUGAUAAACGAGCUGUCUUGCA